Molecule: ribosomal RNA, 492 nt
Filed under: uncultured bacterium
Lineage: Bacteria
Description: partial 16S ribosomal RNA
Rfam family: Bacterial small subunit ribosomal RNA
Source: RNAcentral
AUUGAACGCUGGCGGCAUGCUUUACACAUGCAAGUCGAACGGUAACAGGCCUUCGGGUGCUGACGAGUGGCGAACGGGUGAGUAAUGCAUCGGAACGUACCCAGAGGUGGGGGAUAACGCAGCGAAAGCUGUGCUAAUACCGCAUGUGAUCUGAGGAUGAAAGCGGGGGACCGAGCAGCAAUGUUUGGCCUCGCGCCCUUGGAGCGGCCGAUGUCGGAUUAGCUAGUUGGUGGGGUAAAGGCCUACCAAGGCGACGAUCCGUAGCUGGUCUGAGAGGACGACCAGCCACACUGGGACUGAGACACGGCCCAGACUCCUACGGGAGGCAGCAGUGGGGAAUUUUGGACAAUGGGCGCAAGCCUGAUCCAGCAAUGCCGCGUGCGGGAAGAAGGCCUUCGGGUUGUAAACCGCUUUUGGCAGGAACGAAACGGUGUCCGCUAAUACCGGGCGCUAAUGACGGUACCUGCAGAAUAAGCACCGGCUAACUACGUG